UUUGAGGGGCUUUAUCGUUUCUCGGAGGACGGUGUCAGUCGCGGACGAGAUCUUUUGCGCUAUACUUCGGCGAGUUCUCAUGCGAGCAGCUUUGCGGCCAACCUGGCACCGAGAACCAUGCUGUUUAUGGUCGAAUGGCCACAGGCCUGAUGAAAGUCGCAGAAGGCGUUCUCGUUGUAAUUCAGAUUACGAGUCCAUGUAUUUUGUUGGGGUCAAAAAUAGACGCGACGAAGUUAACAUCCAAAUAUCCGCAAAAAUCAGCAUGAAAACUUUUACGAAACGUAAUCCUUCGUAAA
Molecule: long non-coding RNA, 296 nt
Filed under: Brassica napus (rape)
Lineage: Eukaryota; Viridiplantae; Streptophyta; Magnoliopsida; Brassicales; Brassicaceae
Description: long non-coding RNA (BNAP_LNC020403)
Source: RNAcentral